UCGAACGACUCUGGUAUUGCUUGGUGCUUGCAUCAUGAUUUACAUUUGAGAGAAUGGCGAACUGGUGAGUAACACGUGGGAAACCUGCCCAUAAGCGGGGGAUAACACCUGGAAACAGAUGCUAAUACCGCAUAACAACUUGGACCGCAUGGUCCGAGUUUGAAAGAUGGCUUCAGCUAUCACUUUUGGAUGGUCCCGCGGCGUAUUAGCUAGAUGGUGGGGUAACGGCUCACCAUGGCAAUGAUACGUAGCCGACCUGAGAGGGUAAUCGGCCACAUUGGGACUGAGACACGGCCCAAACUCCUACGGGAGGCAGCAGUAGGGAAUCUUCCACAAUGGACGAAAGUCUGAUGGAGCAACACCGCGUGAGUGAAGAAGGGUUUCGGCUCGUAAAACUCUGUUGUUAAAGAAGAACAUAUCUGAGAGUAACUGUUCAGGUAUUGACGGAAUUUAACCAGAAAACCUCGGCUAACUACAUGCCAGCAACCGCGGUAAUACGUAAGUGGCAAGCGUUGUCCGGAUUUAUUGGGCGUAAAGCGAGCGCAGGCGGUUUUUUAAGUCUGAUGUGAAAGCCUUCGGCUCAACCGAAGAAGUGCAUCGGAAACUGGGAAACUUGAGUGCAGAAGAGGACAGUGGAACUCCAUGUGUAGCGGUGAAAUGGGUAGAUAUUAUGGAAGAACACCAGUGGCGAAGGCGGCUGUCUGGUCUGUAACUGACGCUGAGGCUCGAAAGUAUGGGUAGCAAACAGGAUUAGAUACCCUGGUAGUCCAUACCGUAAACGAUGAAUGCUAAGUGUUGGAGGGUUUCCGCCCUUCAGUGCUGCAGCUAACGCAUUAAGCAUUCCGCCUGGGGAGUACGGCCGCAAGGCUGAAACUCAAAGGAAUUGACGGGGGCCCGCACAAGCGGUGGAGCAUGUGGUUUAAUUCGAAGCUACGCGAAGAACCUUACCAGGUCUUGACAUACUAUGCAAAUCUAAGAGAUUAGACGUUCCCUUCGGGGACAUGGAUACAGGUGGUGCAUGGUUGUCGUCAGCUCGUGUCGUGAGAUGUUGGGUUAAGUCCCGCAACGAGCGCAACCCUUAUUAUCAGUUGCCAGCAUUAAGUUGGGCACUCUGGUGAGACUGCCGGUGACAAACCGGAGGAAGGUGGGGAUGACGUCAAAUCAUCAUGCCCCUUAUGACCUGGGCUACACACGUGCUACAAUGGAUGGUACAACGAGUUGCGAACUCGCGAGAGUAAGCUAAUCUCUUAAAGCCAUUYUCAGUUCGGAUUGUAGGCUGCAACUCGCCUACAUGAAGUCGGAAUCGCUAGUAAUCGCGGAUCAGCAUGCCGCGGUGAAUACGUUCCCGGGCCUUGUACACACCGCCCGUCACACCAUGAGAGUUUGUAACACCCAAAGUCGGUGGGGUAACCUUUUAGGAACCAGCCGCCUAAGGUGGGACAGAUGAUUAGGGUGAAGUCGAACAAG
This 1467-nucleotide ribosomal RNA is filed under the name Lactiplantibacillus pentosus. RNAcentral's name for it is "bacterial SSU rRNA". It matches the Rfam family "Bacterial small subunit ribosomal RNA". The record is from RNAcentral. Lineage: Bacteria; Bacillati; Bacillota; Bacilli; Lactobacillales; Lactobacillaceae.